AUAAUGUUAAUUCAAAAUUGAUUUCUGCUUUUGUUGGGCCAUUUGUGAUUGAUAGAUUUUUGGGAGACAACACGGUCCUAUUGCGUAACCCUUCUGGUUCUAGAAAAUAUAAAAAGGCCCAUGUGGGUCAAUUAAAGAAAUUUCAUCAAUAACCUUUUUUUUUCUUUUAUUUGGACUUAGUUUUUUUUGUUGUUGUUUGGGUGUUCGUGUUUCCUUCUCUUUCUUUUUUUUUCUUUCCUCCCACCGAUGCUCCCGCCACGCCCAGAAGAGGACUUCGCGCCGCAGCGCACCCGACGCUCCUCGCCCUGCCCGAGAUAGCGUGACCGCAGCCACCCGCCGGGUUCGUCGUGUCUGCAAGGUCACUUGCUUGCUGGGACGUUGGUCGCCGUCACGUCACCGAUGAGGAGCGGUGGCAUGGAGUCGCCGCCGUCUCCUGCCCGUGAGGGGCCGUGACGCGUGCGGAGACUGACUCUCCUGCAGCGGCCGCUUCGGAUGGCCCUGCCUGCCAGGCGCCGAGCGUGGGCAGGCGGUGGGGACGCCCGCCGUUCUCGCCCUGGUGUCGCGCUGGGGGAAGGCAUGCUGUUCCUGCUACUCUGGGAUGAAGAAGAUGCUGUCCGAAUUUGAAAUUAUUAGGGACGUCCCGUACUCUAAACUUUCUCUUCAGCGCUGAAGAGUUUUUAUUUCAGUGGCAGUGGAAACGCUGAAGACUCUUUAUUUCUGUGGAUACACUGAGAAUCCUUACUAGGUGUCUUACACGAAAAAUUAUGCCAGUCAUGAACUCACUUCAAGAAAUUGUUAUUUAGAAACAUUGGUUGUAUUUGUAUACACAUAGACAUGUGUUGAACUCACUUCAAGACAUUGUUAUUUAGAAACAUUGUUUGUAUUCGUAUACACAGAGAAAUGUGUUGAACUCACUUCAAGAAUUCGUCAGUUAGAUAUCAAGAAAUUGUUAUUUAGAAACAUUUGUUUGUAUUUGUACACACAUAGAAUUGUGUUGACUUGACAUUUGAGUUACUUCAAGAGUUGUGACCGGACCUGCAGUUCCUCGUGUCCUUGUGACUUGGUUGGCGAGGCUCGCGGUUGCGUUCGUCAAGGGUGGGGGAGUUGAAGUGGUCGGUGCGCGUCACUUGAAUUUCGCACCGCGCGGCGGACUUCGGCGCUCCUUCCCUUCCUACUUUCCCCCUCCUCUCUGCGUCCAGUGCUGUGUUUGUCUUCCCCUCGUGAGGUGUCCGCGCAUGCGCGUGGCGCCCUCUUGCUUAAUUAAAACUAGGUGUAAUGCCUUGAUGGCUCUUCUUGUUCGUCAGCAGUCAGUCGGUGCUGGUCGUGAAUUAAGCAUGUAGUCAGAUACUUGCUUUAGAGAGAGAGUGUGUGACAGCGGGGAGAAUCCACGUAAGUGUUGUAAGGUGGUGACCCUUACAGUAAUGUAAACGGUACUUGGUAAUAGCCGUACUAUAAAUUCCAUUUCGGCCGUCUCCGUCUAAAUUCUAUUUGGCACUUAUUGUUUUCCUUGAUCGUUUUUGUAUUAAUACCAUGCAUAGUUUGUUUGACGUUUCUCCCCGUCUGGUCUACAGUCUUCGUUAGGACUUGUUUUUUACGUAAUGUAUUUAAUGUAUUAAUUUGUGAAUUUUCCUUUUAUAUCAUGCCUUAUCAUGCUUUACAGUAAGCUUAUACCGCCUAGUGUAGGUUAGGCCGCGGUCGCCUGCAUGUUCAUUUGACGUUUUUGUAUUCUCUAAUGAGGCAUGUUAGUGUUCAUUAUCCUUGUGUGUAAGCGUUAAUACGUAAUUGUAAAAUUUCUUUCAAGUAUUUAUCAAGUUAAUAUUAUGUAUUCAAUCAAGCAUUUAAUCCUAAAGAAAAUAUAGAUAUGCGUUCACGUAUUUUGCCGUGGCAUGUGUACUAGCACUAUCAGUAUUAAGCAAGUAUUAAUUAUAUGUGAAAGAAUGAUGUAUUUGUAUGAUAACCACGUGAGGCCUUUGCCCAUGAUUAAACGAACUAAGUUAAUGUAACUAUUUGCUACUUCAACCUUUGCAUCCAUCCUUGGCUAUAAUUGUUAGAUUACCUCUUUGAAAACCUUUUAUUCAGCAUAAUUUAUUCAGUAUUUUUAGGAUAGUGUUACACGCAGUUGAAGGUUCACGUGAAUGUACUUCACCUGUUUACACUGUCCCAUGAAGCUCAUGGAAGCCUUCAAUAUGCGUGUAAUAAAAAAAAUCACUUUUAAAAAUAAAAUACAUGCAUUGAUAAGGUUGAAAAUACACAAGAAUGCCGCUGAUAAAUACAUAGUAGUCUGAUGGUUAUUUUAAACCUUCGUUUUAUCGCAUUUUAAACACAAAGCAUUUCCUCCAAACAUUUAGUGACUUUUAGGUUAGGCCUACUCCCCACCCUCGUUGGUGGCUAGGUUUGCUCCUGCUGUAUCGCAUAUUGAAACGUAAUUUAUUCACCUAAGAUUCGCUCAAAUACUUUCAGUAUGAUAAAAUGGUAACAAUGUAGGAAUAAUAGUGUUUCACGUAGAGUUGAGAGGUUUCGUGUUUAUAGUUCAUACGAAAAUUGUAAUUUGUGAGAGGAGCGGCUUAUGUGAAAAGAAAGUAAUUAAUUCCGUUAAAGGGUAUUUUUAGUUCCUAUACUCUUCUGGUAGUUAUAAAAUGCAGACACAAUAUUGUCAAAUACAGUUUACGUAAUAAAUUAUAUUCAGGCAUUUAAUUAACAACACCGACUUCCUGUUAUAUUGUUUCAAGCUUGCAAGAUGCUAAAUAAAUAUUAUCAGCGUAUUCACCCAAUACAUAUGCUACGGUACAAAAUAGUGUGAAUAAAACUUGUAGUGCACUAGAAAAUAUGCUAUGAACAAGUCUAAGGAUAAUGUAAUUAAAUAUAACAGUAGUAUUUUUUGAACAGUGGGACGUAUAGCACACCGAGUUGUUUUGGUACCUUCAAAUCGGCAAAUUAACUUUAACGGUGACGAAAAUUACAAAAUAAUAAUGAAAUCAGGUCUAGUAUUGUAAUGUUUCACGUCGAAUCACAAAAGUGUUUGAAAAUUCUUUUUUCAUCAUAUGAUUUUAAGUAAUAAUAACUGACCAUUGAAAACAAAAUUAAUAAUAACGAGCAACACAUUCCACAAGAUCGCUAAAUAAUAUUUUCAUAUUAAAAACUACAAACUUUCACAUUUUCUAAUGCACUCCAUAACAUUCUUAUAUACUAUUUAAUAAUUAUAACCGACUUUGCUAUGUAAAAUGAUUUUAGUAUAUUUUGAGACUGAGACGUGACGGGUGUUUUACUGAGCAAAACAGUCUGUAAAACUUAUAUUUACGGAACGCCAACAGGCGUACAAUGAAAAAUGAUAUAAAUAUUGAAUAUAGUUAUGGAAAAUAUAUAAUUCGAUAGUCACAUCAUGCCUAAGUUUUACGAAUGUCCACAAUCUUGUUUUCGUGUAGGUAGUUUUCUAUUGGCUGUAAAUUGCUAGCAGAUACACCAACUGCCAAAUAAAACACAUCCUUUCUGUAAAUUCACUGCCAACCUCUGCAUAUUAUCGAUUGCCAAGCCGUCGUGGUAAGGCGCCUUAGCGAUGACGGGAGAUAUAUGACGAUGGGAUCCGUGCUCGCAUUUUCACGCGGCCGUCAUAACUCCGCCGUCAUACCAGCGACGCGUCGCACAGUGGGAGAUUUGCCCGAAAACGUGGUCAAAAUGCAAAUCACGAACUUAAAAUCCCAACCAAACUGGCGAUGUGGUAGUAAUGUUAGAUCAUCCCUGUAUGGGAAACCGGAUAUGGCAAUGAGAAAUUCCCACAUCCUAAGGUUUCACGGCAGUUGACAAGUGAGGGUCGAGUGCGUUGGGCGGACCUAAUUAUCUUGAAGAUAAUUCCGUGCUGUACUAAAGUGAAUGUCGCGGCCGUAAAAACUGAUAUUUUUUAGUUCUGAAAAAUGGAUGCAAUUCCUAUAGGUAUGGCGUCUAUAUCACUGCCUUAUUUUGUUAUAUAUAAAGCUGCAAUGUUUUUUGUUUUAUUUUCUAAUGCGACUUUGUGAACAUAAUGAAAAUUUAGUUUUAUCAUAUUACAUCGAGGCUUUUAGUUGGGUAUGCCACAUUAUGCACCUUUCUUUCGAAAUAGGGCGUUUAUUUUAUUGUUUUAGUAAUACGAAUUUACAAUAACUAGCUGUUAAUAUGUGCUACCCUUUGUGUACGAUAUUAUUUCCUUAAUUGCUGCACUGGUGGCGACUCCCUGAGGCUAUGGCGGGCCUAAGCCGACCCAUCAUUGUCGACAAUGUGCAUAGCCUGUCCAAUACCAGAUACCUUUUUUCUUAUUCCUUCAUAAGCUUCACUAAUUGUCAGUUCAUUCUCGACAUCGUCAUCGAUGUCUGUUAAAGUCUGGAGAAGUUUAUUAGUGGUGGUCUAGCCUUUCAGAAAUCUUUGAUGAAAACCAUAUGUAGUGUUGGUAUAGUGAGAUUUUUUAUUGAUACGGAAUUUUUUACUACUGGUAAGAAACAAAUAUAAAGUCCUUCAAAGUUGUUCACUAAGGACAAUUGUUUUAGAUUUUCCAACUGUAAAAUAACCAUUAAAAGUAUAUCAAUACCUGCGAGUGCAAGGCCUGCUUUGUCCACGUUUUUUCUAAGCUAAACACUAAAUGGAAAGAAUCUUCAAGGAACAUUGACUAUUUUCUGAAUAAAAAUCAAGCAUGGCUCAGCAAGAACAUUUGUAUUCCGGUAAGUAAUCCCAGUUCUGGAGAGUCGGCAAAGAAACGUGGACGCCCUUCCGUGGAAUUUUGUUUAAGUAGUGAACGAACGAAACGAAGGAGAACAGAGCAACUACGUACAAAUGUAGACAUGUCGAUGCCGUCUUAUGCCACUCAGAUGAGCCUUCGUUCGUCUAGUAAUUUAGAUGCUGCCAACAUACUAAAAUACAUAACCACAACUACCCCAACAAGAGCUUCGAAAUAUCGGAAGCGUUAUAGUAUGCAAGUCGAGAAGACAAUAUCUGCAGAUGAGGCUUUGUCUACAAUGGUUGAAGCUAAAUUGAGUAGGCAUCACUACAGUGUAAUUAGAUCAACAGCGCAAAAACACAACUGCAAAUUGUAUCCCAGUUAUGAAGCAGUAAGGGAAGCGAAAUCGAAGUGUUUUCCACCGCGUACGAGUAUCACAGUUACUGAGAAAAGUGCAGAAGUGAAAUUACAAAGUCUGUUAGACCACACCAGUUAACGUAUUUUACUAGUCCAAGGAGAAGUGAUACAAAGUUUACAUCCCGAAGAUGUGCGUGCAUUAAGUUUAAUUUGUAAAUGGGGAUGUGAUGGGAGCUCGGGACACAGUGAGUACAAGCAAAGAUUCAACAACGAUUCUGAUUUGGAUGCAAAUGUGUUCUUGACGUCUUUUGUAACACUGCAACUUGUUUCUUCUGAACCGAAAUCUCGGGACGAAAUUGUUAUAUGGAAGAAUCCGAGGCCUACAUCUCCCAGGUUUUGUAGGCCAAUCAGACUGCAGUUUCUCCAUGAAAACACUGAAUGCAUUACUUGAUGUAAGUUUUUGGACAUACGCCAUAGCAAUGGCGUAUGUCCAAAAACUUACAUUAAGUCAUGCACUCCCAUUGCACAAAUCUUUUAAAGAUAACACUGAAUGCAUUGUAAGAGAAAAAAACUAUAUCGAGCAGCAAAUUGAAUCACUUGUUCCACUGACUGUAACAAUAAAUGGGAAUGAGAUAUCGGUUACAUACAAAAUGUUAUUUACCAUGAUAGAUGGUAAAGUGUGUAACGCAGUGUCAUCAACGACAUCUCCGUUGCGUUGCUAUUUAUGUGGAGCAACGUCCAAGAAUUUUAAUGACAUUGAACAGGUCGUUAAGAGGGAGAUAAACGAAAUGCACCUUUCAUUUGGUAUUUCAACAUUGCAUAUGUGGAUUCGUUUAUUUGAAUGUAUAUUGCACAUGUCAUACAAACUAACUAUUGGAAAGUGGCAAGCACGUUCUGAAGCAGAAAAAAUAAUUUCAAUGACCGAAAAAAAUUUAUUAGAGUUAAUUUGAAGUCGGAGUUAGUUCUUGUUGUUAAUUGUCCGAAACCUGGCUACGGAAUCACAAAUGAUGGAAAUACUGCUCAGCGUUUUUUUUUUUUUUUUGGAAACUCGGAUGUGAGUGCAUCAGUUACGGGUGCAGACGUAACUUUAAUAAAAAAUAUUUUACGUAAUCUUGCAAGCAAUUUCAAGUGGUCACGACAUUAAUGUUAAUAGUUUUGAGAAUUAUUGUCUAAAAACUGCAACAACAUACGUAUAAAAAUAUUCAUGGUAUCCCAUGCUGACAGCUGUACAUAAACUACUAAUUCACGGAACCAAAAUAAUAUUGUCCGCUUUGUUGCCAAUCGGACAAUUAUCGGAAGAUGCUCAAGAGGCUAGGCAUAAGGAUAUGAAGAGAUAUCGUGAAGGAUUUUAUAGGAAAUGUUCCAUAAUAAAUACAAUGGAAGAUAAUUUCAGUUGGUUACUCUUAUCUUCAGAUCCGAUGAUUUCUAGUGUACGAAAGCUCCCUCAGAAAAUAAAUGUAGCAAUUCUCGCCAGAUGCCAUACAACUACUGGACUGCCCCCACUCCCUUGAAGCAUCAGGAACGCACGAUGAUUCUGACAGUACAGAUUCUGAUUGAAAAUAUUGUUUACACCGAAAUGUUGCCACAAUGUUGUUGUUAUUCACUGGGCAAAAUAUUUAUUGAGGGGAUGCUUAAGUGCUUAUUUGUGUGCACAAAAUUUUGCAUUAACAACAAAAUAAUUUGACAAGUGUGGACUUCCUACAAACUUUGUUUUUAAGUUUGUGGUAGCUUUUUAAUGUGUAUUUGUGUAUUUUUCAAUUUUGUAUAUUUCUUUUUCUAUUCACCUACUAGGUUCUGUAUUUCUUAGGCCUAUCGUUUCUUGCUUCUUAACUAUUUAAAUACUGUAAAUAGAUUCUCCCGUGAUUAUGUCAAAUAUACUCAAAUAAUGCAAUGUGUACAGUAUUGAAAAUAUAAAUAUGCAAGUAAAAGUAAUUUUUGCUGUUAUCUUUUAUUAAGUAACUUCCAAAUGAGCAAUUUUCAAUACAAUUACAAACAUUUAAUAUGCAUAUUAUAGACUACAAAUUAUAUAUAUAUAUAUAUUGAUAUUUUAGCCUCUAUAAGAUGAACGGCCAUGAACUAAUUGAUUUUAACAUUAAAUUCGUAAUCAGCGACUUCUAAAACCCCUAUAAUGAAGUUUGUAUGACAUAACAUUGGUUUUUGUAUUUUUGACCACGUUUUCGGGCAAAUCUCCCACUGUGCGUCGUCGCUAUGACGGUGGCGAGGAAAAGAACCAUGCUCGACCCACAGGAGACUAUGUAUGCACAGCGGCUGAAUUCCGCACGAUAAAUAGAAACCAUUAUUGAGCCAAAUGACAACCUUAUUUUAUUUAUAAGCGAUGAGGCUCAUUUUCAUCUUAACGGCAUGGUGAAUCAGCAAAACUUUCGUUAUUGGGUCAGUGAAAAUCCAAGACAAAUGUAUGAGAGACCACUGCACAUACCUAAGUUACAGUUUGUGGGCUGUUGUCCGUACAGGUGUUAUCGGUCCAUACUUUUUCCAAGAUGAUAACGAGAACACUAUAACUGUGACCUCGAUAAUUACAGACUUCUUCUUACCAAAACUACGAAUCCUAUCCUACUUGGGUGGUCUCAGCAGGAUGGGACGACAGCCCACACAGCAAGAAUGUCAAUGGCAAUUAUUCGUCCUCUUUACCCUAGUCGCGUCAUUUCCUGGUGUGAUGACAUUGACCUCCUCGAUCCCCUGACCUGUUCAUGUGCGACUGUUUCUUGUGGGGUCACCUCAAGACACGUGAAUACAAACAUAAACCACGUAAACUGAAACUGAGGGAAGCAAUUCUUGUGCAAGUCGCUCAAAUUGACAGAGCUACUUGGAAAGAGUGGAAACCACCUUCCAAGAGCGGCUUGUGAGGUGUAUCGCUAAAAACGGCCGUCACCUGGGAGAUAUUGUUCACAACCACUAAUUUCAUAAAAUAGCAAACUUAUGUGAAACUUAUUCUGUAAAUAAAUUAUUUAUGUAGCAAAAUUUACGAUUUACAAACUUUUCUUUUAAUUCUGUCCUUUCUGCCCCAACCUGUACUUGCUGAAAAUGUUAGCAAUAUCAAAAUUUAAGUUUAGUACCUAUACUAAUUCUCAGGAUAGACAGUGGUAUAUUAAAAUUUAUAAAGCAGUUUAUUUCAGUCGUUAGGUAAAGUUUAGUUGAGCAGAAAUUUCUGUUCUUUUUAUUUGCGAUAACUAGAAACACACUGACAAAAUAUCAAGGUUAUUACUUAUUAACCAUUAAUAUUAUGUCUUAAAAAGAAAACAAAAUGCCUAAAUCGUAACAAACUGCAUUUUCAAAGUAGUUCCAACAUCAUCAUUAAUAUUUUCAAAGUAUUGUGUAGGCCUAUAUAUUGCGGACCUCUAUUAUCCAUUAACCUUGUAAACUUUAUUCCGAAAUUAUUUUGUGCAAAAAUAAUGCAACAUCUCUGUGUGAACUUCCUAAGCCAUGAGUAAGAUUUCGCGUGAAAAGUAGCUUAAAUUAAGGAUAAAGUAACAAACUGUAUCUUGAAACGAAAAAAGAAUGCCAGUAUUACAUGUCUGAUAAUAAAUAACUGUAAUUUCUUGCAUGGCCAUAUAUUAUGUUAUGUCAGCUACAUUCCUUUGCACAGAUUAAAAUUAUUUCAUUUACACCAACGUCAAAUCGGGAAAUGACAGCGUAGCUACGAUAAAACUAGCAGAAAAAAAGGUCCCAUAAACUGCAGGUAACAUAACUCAACGCCUUCUAUUCCAGCUGAACUUCGCGAAGAAUAAUGAAGGUCGUUAUUAAAAUUAGUUUACUAAUAAUUCUGGGUUGCGUAGAUGAUUUGAAUAAAAUCCAUAUUGUAACUACACUUCAAAAAAGUAUUUAUUUUAUUGUUUUAGAAACUCUAAACCAAAAAAUCUCUUUAAGCAGUAUUUUUUUUUCCAAAACUACGAAAACUUAAGAUUUAAGUCAUUGUUGGACGUAGCCAUUGCUGACCACAGGAACAGAUGAUAAAGAAAACAAACUGUACAUACGACAUAAAUUAAUCUUUUAUAAAUGCCAAAGAAUUCAUAGUAAUAUUUAUCGUAAUGAUCAUUUACGAACGAUUUAUAACAGCGCACUGCUUCCACUGAAGAAAAGCAAAAGAAGUUCUGGAAGGUACGAGGUUGGUCAGCUACAUCCAAGCGGCUGACGGCCAGUGACGAAUUUUCCCAGUAAAAGCUCCGAGUCUACUUAAAAGUACCAACACCCGCGCCGUAGUGACCUUGUUCAUGGACGUGACGGCUGCGCUGGACCGAAGGUAUGUAUAUCAACCACUCAACCAGUCACUAGAUCAACGUAAAUUUCGAGUCAUGGGGUGUAUUGAUACAAAGGCAUUAUAAAUAAGAAACAACAAAUGUGUUAAAAAUCGUAAUUCUCCUUAAAGAACAUGAAAGUCCGACAGUGCCAUUCACUCUGAAAGGUUGAACCAGGCCAGCGUGCCACCAGCCAAGUCCUGAGGGGAGUGCCCGUGGACGCAUGAAGAGCUCCUGGAACACCGCGCGGGGCCGAACUGCGCCGGAGAUGUCACCGGUACAGCCGACCAGCGUCCACGAAGAGCGAUCUUCAGCUUCACCUCACCGAGAGACAUCUCCGUGGGAUCUUCCGUUCGUCACCUCCUCCCUACUGGUGGUACCUGCCUAUGAGAGCCCAUCGUGCUACUGCCCAUCGUGCUACCAUGAGCUUGCCUGGCGGCUUCCUCGUCGUGUGGAGGCUCGAUGCUGUCUCGCCGCUUCUGGGUCUUGGAGAGCGACCGUGUUGAUUCCGGCUGAGUGCUUCCCGCACCGCCGUGAGUCCAUGGCUGCCCCUAGCCCUUGCUUGACGGGUCUUGGACAUCGUAGCUGACCCCUUCGUCAGCCUGCUAAGGCACUACGACUUGGUGCCCCUGCUGGAGUCCCCUUCCAUGCCUGGGUGGUUGCGACUCGCGGGACCGCCCUGCUCCGAGCCCUUGAUCUGGGCUGAACACCAACUUCAUAUCUGGACUUUUUACUCCGUACUCCGUAUCAGCCGCUGGCUGUCGUCUAAUGCUGUUCCGAAGACCUGUGUAGCAUGUGAAUAAGUUCGAAACCAUCUCGUUGAUCGCCGCUGCGAUCCUGAAGCUUGCUGUUUGAUGCUCUCUCCAGUCUCCGAUUUCAACGUCAUGAACUUUCUUCAUCGUGUGGAUCUUCUGGCUCUCCGGGCAGGGACACUUUAGGGAAGGGUCACUGUACUCGAGAAACUUGCAAAUAAUAUAUUCUAAUACUGCUAAUUUUUUAUGCACAACUUCUAUUUUCUUACUCAUCAUGCACUCUAUAACCUACAAACUAGGCAACAGUAAUGUAAACAAUCAAUAAAAUAAAGCAAAGACUUUGCAGACCGGCUGUAGGAAUGCAAAGAGAUUAAAAAUUUUGGUGGAACACAUUUACUUUGCACUUUUCAGUUAUAUGCAAAGUGCGAAUUGAAAAGUUGCAAAGUUUAUUGGUGGAAUAGGCCCCAGGACGCCGUAACCAUUAAAAGUACACUUAAACGUAACUGGUUUUAUUGACACGUCACAAGAUACAGUACUUCACCUGGUAAAGUACAUCUUCACGUAACUGGCCGUAUCAUCAUCUACCUUUUCAUCUCCGCACACACGGCCCUCGAUUGGCAGUCCUACUGAUUCACGUCUAGCGGAAUUCCUGAGGACUACCCCACCGAGGGUCGCAGGCUACCCUGAGAUUGAUAGUGACGACGAUGAAGACACGUGGCGAAUCUAGCUGUUAAGGAGAGUGGUAUUCCGGACAGUGAGAUACAAGGAUAGCUUACUAGUUACUUAUUAAAUGGCUUAGACAAAACACUGAAAUUAUACACUACACAUGGCUGAUGGCGGAAACUAAUACUAACGGUUAAACCCGGAAAUAGAGCUUACCAUUGAAAUGUCCUGGAGAUCGGGAUGAUACUGAGACGGCUAUACCGCCCAGGGAAAAUUAAUAUAAUAUCGAGAGUUCGUUCUCGAUGUGGCGUGGGGCCACGUUAGCUGGGUGCGAGCACAGUGGUACCUGACAUGGAAAACUCUCUCGCGACCGCGGCAUGUCCCAGUACCUGAUGUGUUAGAGAGUCAAUGUUCGCUUUAGGUGCAAUGCCGCCCCGCGUGGGCAAAGUUCAAUUCUCCUGUCGGAGUGGUUAAGGCGUGAAGCACUGGCACCUCGGCGAGCUGCCCAAACAAUAGAAAUACAUAUUACACUAAACGACGCGUGGACGAAUUACACAUAUUUAAUAAAAAAAAACGUAUGACACGUCGUAUGGUUGAUUUAGGACCGGUCGUGGAGCGGAUGAAAACGAAUUUUAAAAUAUUACUUAUUGAAGCUACAUGCUGAUUUUGGCGCGAGAGAUGAAGGCUCCACGCGCGCAGAGCUGCCGGCCCUGAUGAGUGCUGGAAGGCGACUGACGAAUCUCCCUGGCAACCCGGCCAGGGAGGGGGCGAUUUCCCACAGAAAGCUACGGAGCAUGUGAAGAUGUUGAUGGCCAGUUUUGUGAUAUCAAAACAUUUACAUUAACAUUAAUUAAUUGUUUAGGAAAAUUUGAUACAUCAAAAGUUUUAGUUCAUUAUUUUAAUUAGAAAUGCAUGUGCCCUAUGUCUCAGCUGCGCAUUGCCACACCCGGCCGGGCGCUUCGUACAACAUAGCCGGCCAUGACUUACGUCAUGCCGUUCGAUGCACUGCCCUCCCUACUCUACUCUGCAUGCGCGGGUAUGUUCGUAGCGGACAGCCUAAGUUUCACCCCCAUAGAUCGACAUUAACGAACAGUUCCGAAGUACGUCGCUCGAUCGGGUAACUUCGGUAGUAGAAAAGCGCGGGCUAUAGCUACAGCUUUUGAACGUGAACAAUGAUAUCGUUUUUUGAUCUAGCAAGAGAUAAAUUGCAAAAUUGUACCAAAAGUGAUAAAGAUAACACUAUUCCGGGAUAUGUAGACAGUGAAAUCGGUUAUAACAAUUUCUUUGAUGCCUUAAAAAGUGCAGGUUACUCGUUCUGUUAGAAGUAGUGCAGCACAGGAGCAAUUCAAAAUAUUAGAUUUAAAUUUUCUAUAGAAGACGAAGCAAGCAACAUUAAAAUGUUUAUCUUGCUUGCUUCAAAUCCUCAACCCUUAUAUCUGUCAAUGAAGGAAAUUAAUUGAGCUUUCAGCUUGGUGACCUCUAGAUCAUUACAAAAAAAUGAAUGGCUAUAAAAUGCUAAUGAUGUGACAGAAUGGAUGGGUGAAGUAACGUAAGAACUCUGAGAAAACCAACUAACAACUGCAAUGUUUGCUAUGUUCCCCACUAUCAAAAGAUCCAUUAAUGACCCUGCUGAGAAUCAAACCCAGAUCACUUUGGUGACAGAAAAGUGAGCACUUAAACACAGAGACCUAAUGUUUGCCUCUAAUGACCACAUUUAUAAGACCACAAACCUAAUGCUUAUUACCUUUUCCACCAUUAAUUUAAUUACCUUACCUUUACAGAUCUUAAGCAGCAGGUAAUGACCAGUAUGCUGAAUGAAGUCUUUGAGAUUAAGGGCUUCUUAUGAGUAGGAAUGUUUGCAAUUUUUGAAACAGCCCUUUUCGGAAUUUUAUUAUUCUACUACUGUUAAAAGUCUCUUCUCUACAAAUUUGCUUUGUUCUCUGUUACUAAUUAUUAUUAAUGUAGGGCAUCCUCCAUCCAUUGCAUACCUUUAGUGAACAUAUUAACAUAUUAUAUUUUUACUAGCUGACCCGGCAAACAUUGUUUUGCCAUAUAAAUUAUUUCUAGGGAAUUCCUAGCUGCAGUACCCAGCGCUGCCCGGGCUGAACACAGGGUGAAGGGGACCUUUUUAGAAAUCAGAUGUAGUUAGUAACUUUUAUUGUCUUCUUAAUUUGAAUGUCAAUUGUGCAAAAUAAUUUAUAUCACUUUCAGAUCCCGACAGACGUUCUGCCAGUGUAUAGUUAUUUACCUGUAUAUAUCGAAAAAUUGGUGGUCUGUAUGCAAUCUAGACUUUAUAAAGCACUAUAGAAAAAAGCUGAAAAAUAAGAGAUUACUAAUAUUGAAAUGAUUCCAUUAUCAAGCUAAUGCUCAGCAUGCAUUACAAUGCCUCAUUUAGUUUUUUUUUGUAAUAUGUUUAAAGUAGUUACACAUAAACAAAUCAUCCAUUCAUAUCUCUAAAUAUAUAUUUAUCUCUAUUUACAUCUAUAUAUGUAUCUCUCUAUCUCUAUUUAUCUCUUUAUAUCUACAUAUGUACAUAUAUAAUUACCUCCCACUAUCUCUAUCUCUUCUAAAUAUAAAUCUCUAUAUAGCGCUAUGCAUCUAUAUAUCUAUUUAUCUAACCCAUUUCAUUCUCUAUACCUCGCUCUAUCUCAACUUAUCUCUCUGUCUCUCUCAUUCUCACUCUGUAUAUAUAUCACUCUAUCUCUGACUCUCUUUUAUAUUUAAAUAAAUUGUGUCAUGCAUGUGCACUUAUACAACAAAAACAGACGAAGUGCCGUUAUAUAAUAUGAAAUAAACACAUUUUUUUGAAACGAUUUGUGCUCCAACUAUUGCAAAAUAGUUAUACCGUCUGAGAAACCUUCACGGGCAUGCGCAUAACAACUCACCAAAAUUGCAUCGCAAUUGGAUGAAUGGUAUAGGAACAUAUACGGCACAAACAAACGAAAAUUAAAGACAUGACAAACGCAUCAAACGAUGGUGCGUUUAAAAUUCAAGGCAAUUAACGCUAUCUAUUGACGAAGUUAAGAACAAAACUGUUAUCAGCUCCUUUAUUUUGCUAGCUGCUGCGAGCUCCACUAAGCGGGCUGGUCUCACCAAGGAGAAAAAUGUGAAUUUGCCAGACCUUACUAUGUGUAUGAUCGUGUGGCAGACAUAAAGAAAUGACACUCACUCACUAUUUGUAUGUCUAUGACCUAUGAUUUUUUUUGUUAUAAAAUGAAAUUAUCACUUUUUCACUCCCUUAGGGAUGGCAUUUCAUAUUAAUAUGUGGUCUAUGAGUUAAUCCAGGUAAUGAGCUCGCUGUAGGCGGGGAAGGUUGAUCAAGUGUUAAUUGAUCAGCUAUCGACCGGGGUUGAAAAAUAUAAAAAUAUAUUAAAAAUUAAGGGUUGAUGAUAGAAGGGUGAAAAUUUAGGGUUGUAUGUAUUUUCUAAUGCCACAUUAUAAAAAAAAUAAAAUAAAAACUUUUGUCCAAAAAUUUAAAAAAAAAUGUUAGGGGUGGAUUACCCCUAACAUUUAGGGGGAUGAAAAAUAGAUGUUGGCCGAUUCUCAUAGAUACCGGAUAAGCACAAAAAAUUUCAUCAAAAUCGGUCAAGCCGUUUCGGAGGAGUAUGGCAACGAAAACUGUGACACGAGAAUUUUAUAUAUAAGAUUCUCCUCGCUGGUUCUGUAUGUUCAACUACAGCUGAUUCAGUUGUGUCUUUAUAUGUUUAAUUAUUUAUUUGUUUAUUUAUUACCAUAGUUUUACAUGGCAAACAAUGCAAAACUUCAAUGCAGUUUAUCCAAAAAUUGGAAGUAUAUCAUAUUUUGAAGGUUUGCUAUGUAACAAAUCAUUAGGUAUUUAAAAAUUUAUUGUAAUGUUUAAAUUCAAGAAAAGUUUUCUGAUGUAUGUUCUGAGAAAAAGAAACAUUUAUGGAAGCUUACUGUAACACCAAAAAUGAAGUAUGAUGUUACUGAUAUCAUUUGUGUUUGAUUUAAUUAAUUAUUAGUGUUAAAAGUGCAUUUGCAGUGCUCAUUUCUGAUCCCGUUCACAUACAAGCAUAAGUGUGAUAACUAAAAUGAAGUAUGGCAAUUUAAGAGUUAAAUGUUAUGUUUAAUCUCUUUCCCUAACGGUUUGAUAAAUAUUUUAAGUGCAAAUGUGCAGUUUGUAGUUCUUAUGUUAGAUCUAAUUCAUAUUAUACAGGCUAAUGUGCAUUGUUUUAUGAAUAAUAGUGUUGUAACAAACUGUCAGAUUAAAUUGUUUUGUUCCAAAAUAGAGCAAUGCUCUUUGGAACAUUGCAGAAAAUAAAAUUUUAAGAAUUACAAAGUCUAGCACAAAUAUUAAUGUAAAUCAGCUCCAAGACUUAAGUUGUAAAUGUAAAAUUAGGCCUAUGUGAUUACAAUCUUAUGGCAUUAAAGGUCUAGUAAGCCUACCUACAUUUGUAUUUUAAAUAAUCCAAGUUCAUAAACAUUUAAAGAAAUUGCUGCAAAUAUUUCAGUUCAAUGAACUGAUUUAAAUAAUAAAUUAUAGGUUGAAAGAUAAUCUAGUAAUGAAGCCAAUAGUAUUAUUAAUUAAAAUCUUGUCUGUAAUCUCAGAAGUCAGAGAAGUUGAACCUUCAUGCAAAACCCAGAGCUGGUAGGCAAUAAUUUUUUUAAUUUACUAAUCAUUUUCGGGAUUUUUUUUUUUAUCAAAGAUUGAUUAAUUUACAUUGAUUGAUACCAAACAUAUACAAGAACUUCAGAAUACAGAUUUUCCUUCAUAUCGAAAUAUUGUUAUUUAAAAAAAAAUAUUUUCUUUUAUUGAUAAUACACUUAUUGGAAUUGGCUCUAGAAUAUAAUAGUGAAUAAUCUGUACUUGUCUAUGAUUUGUUUUUUUUAAUGGUUGUUGGCUAGUGUUAUGUAUGUAUGUGCACUAUAUGCAAAUGGUAGUUCUGAUAGUAUAUGUUCAUAAUAACUAAUAUACUGAUAUCAGACUAGCUCAAAAUUGGUCUAUAUUGUACAUAUAUGAAUACUUUAUAAGAUAUGUAUUGAAAUAUUAUUUGAGUUAAGGAAAAUUGUUACUGUAGAGUGCAGAUGAUUGAUUGAUUAUUGAAAAAAAAAAUUCCUUCUGACAACCAUUAA
Bacillus rossius redtenbacheri is the source of this 15800-nucleotide long non-coding RNA. RefSeq lists it as uncharacterized. The transcript has 2 exons. Lineage: Eukaryota; Metazoa; Arthropoda; Insecta; Phasmatodea; Bacillidae. The record is from RefSeq and is a predicted model, not a curated record.